GGCACCAAAAUCCUUUUGCUUCGUCAAAUCUGAAAAGAACACUGAUAUUUAGAAGAUAUGGCCACAUACCCAAUUAGUAGCUGCAGAAACUUAAUAGCUCCACAGUCUUGGCAGAUCUAUCAUGUGCAGUUACUGACUGCCAAAGCAGCAAUCUCAAGAGACUAAUGGGCAUUGCAAGACUGCUGGAAUACAGACUGUCUGAGGAUAACUGCAGUAUCAGAAAGAAAUUGAAAAAAUAUUUUCUGAAUCAUAAUGUCUUAGUUUAUGAAUGUCUUGGGAAUUUUGAGACAGAAACGGUCUGCAGUGUAUAUUAACUGACCUUUUGCUAAGUUAAACCUCUGCAGGUUAAGACUUUACAACAUGGAAGCUAACAAGUGGCAGAGUCUAAGAGCUUCUCUUUAAAGCUAUGAAACCACAGCAAGUGGAUGAACACCAGCUGGGCCUGUAGGGGAUCCCAGGGCUGCAGGCCUAGAUGAAAGGAAGGGAGCGCUGAUACUGCUGUUCUUCCUGAACCUCUCAAGCCUGUGGAGCUGUCUGAGAGAUCACAGUAUCAUCUUGUGGUCAUUUACAUUUACAAAUACAGUAAAGUGCAAAACUGAA
Molecule: non-coding RNA, 600 nt
Organism: Meleagris gallopavo (turkey)
Lineage: Eukaryota; Metazoa; Chordata; Aves; Galliformes; Phasianidae
Source: RefSeq, a predicted model, not a curated record